GACGAACGCUGGCGGCGUGCUUAACACAUGCAAGUCGAACGGGCCUUGUCCCCUUUUUUUUUGGGGGUGGGGUUAGUGGCGAACGGGUGAGUAACACGUGAGUAACCUGCCCCUCACUUCUGGAUAACCGCUUGAAAGGGUGGCUAAUACGGGGUGUUCUGGCCUGCUCGCAUGGGUGGGUUUGGAAAGAUUCGACCGGUUUGGUUGUUUUGGUGGGGGAUGGGCUCGCGGCCUAUCAGCUUGUUGGUGGGGUGAUGGCCUGCCAAGGCUUUGACGGGUAGCCGGCCUGAGAGGGUGGGCGGCCACGCUGGGACUGAGACACGGCCCAGACUCCUACGGGAGGCAGCAGUGGGGAAUAGUGCACAAUGGGCGCAAGCCUGAUGCAGCGACGCCGCGUGAGGGAUGGAGGCCUUCGGGUUGUGAACCUCUUUCGCCAGUGAAGAAGGUCCUGCUCUUUGUGGUGGGGUUGACGGUAGCUGGGUUAAUGAAGCGCCGGCUAACUACGUG
This 507-nucleotide ribosomal RNA is filed under the name uncultured bacterium. RNAcentral's name for it is "partial 16S ribosomal RNA". It matches the Rfam family "Bacterial small subunit ribosomal RNA", at positions 28 to 507 of the family's 1533-position model. The record is from RNAcentral.